GAGGGGGAUAACUACUGGAAACGGUAGCUAAUUACCGCAUAACGUCGCAAGACCAAAGAGGGGGACCUUCGGGCCUCUUGCCAUCAGAUGUGCCCAGAUGGGAUUAGCUAGUAGGUGGGGUAACGGCUCACCUAGGCGACGAUCCCUAGCUGGUCUGAGAGGAUGACCAGCCACACUGGAACUGAGACACGGUCCAG
RNAcentral lists this ribosomal RNA (197 nucleotides) under uncultured Enterobacterales bacterium. Its description in RNAcentral is "partial 16S ribosomal RNA". It matches the Rfam family "Bacterial small subunit ribosomal RNA", at positions 136 to 334 of the family's 1533-position model. Lineage: Bacteria; Pseudomonadati; Pseudomonadota; Gammaproteobacteria; Enterobacterales. The record is from RNAcentral.